This 237-nucleotide ribosomal RNA is filed under the name uncultured Staphylococcus sp. RNAcentral's name for it is "partial 16S ribosomal RNA". It matches the Rfam family "Bacterial small subunit ribosomal RNA", at positions 103 to 334 of the family's 1533-position model. Lineage: Bacteria; Bacillati; Bacillota; Bacilli; Caryophanales; Staphylococcaceae. The record is from RNAcentral.
CGGGCGAGUAACACGUGGAUAACCUACCUAUAAGACUGGGAUAACUUCGGGAAACCGGAGCUAAUACCGGAUAAUAUAUUGAACCGCAUGGUUCAAUAGUGAAAGACGGUUUUGCUGUCACUUAUAGAUGGAUCCGCGCCGCAUUAGCUAGUUGGUAAGGUAACGGCUUACCAAGGCAACGAUGCGUAGCCGACCUGAGAGGGUGAUCGGCCACACUGGAACUGAGACACGGUCCAG